GCCGGGGUGCCCGAGUGGCCUAAGGAGAAAAACUCCGGCCAGAGGGGUCGGCCUGGAGAGCCGAUGCCUCGUCAGGGGCGCCCGGGUUCAAAUCCCGGCCCCGGCGCCA
This 109-nucleotide transfer RNA is filed under the name Thermoprotei archaeon. Its description in RNAcentral is "tRNA-Ser". The stretch from base 9 to 106 matches the Rfam family "tRNA". From Rfam's summary of the family: Transfer RNA (tRNA) molecules are approximately 80 nucleotides in length. Their secondary structure includes four short double-helical elements and three loops (D, anti-codon, and T loops). The record is from RNAcentral. Lineage: Archaea; Thermoproteati; Thermoproteota; Thermoprotei.